AGCGCCCCCUGCGCGCCCCGCUCCCCGCCGCGCCCCCCCGCCGUGCAGACUCACCGCUCCGUGCGGGCCGCGGCCGCUGCCUGCCGGCUCGGCGGGGCGCGGGCCCGGGCGCGGGAGGUGGCGAGGCGCUGCCCGCAGCGAGGGGGGGCGCGGGGCUCACUGCCGGCCCGCCGGGCCCAGCGGGGGCCCUUCAGCCUCUGCAGGGGGAAGCCAAACGCCUGUUAGAGCUGCCGCGCUCCCACAGCCAUGAGUCGCGACACGGUAUUAACUGGCUUAUGCUCCGUUAGACUUUCUGUCACCGCUAACGGGCUUACAUUUUUUUAUCAAACAAAACAGGAAGGAAUACCCCCCCACCCCCACCGCACCCUCAGUAUAUUUGCAAAGUAAAGUUUUACGUCAGACUUAAGCAUGACAACCUUUUUGCACCCCUUCCCUGUUCUAAGAGACCUGAUUUUCUCCCCCUUGCUCUAUUCUGAGCUUGAUAGCCUUAUACAUCAGAGGCAAUACUGGCUGAACCUGUCUGGGAGGAACAUACACACCUUUCCCAUGAUCUGGAAAAACAGCCCUGCUGUCAUUGCUGCAUCCAAGAGGGAUGAGGGGGAAAUAGCCAGCGCCAGCUUCUUGUAAGUGCACACAUGGGGAAGGUAGGUUAUGCAGAACCCAAAAGAAAACUUUUUAGGAUGAAACAAAACAAGAAAGAAGAGAAAAGACAAGCCAACCCCCCCAACCCAACAGUGGAGGAGGCCAUGGGAGACUGUGGAAGCUCAGACCCAGGGUAGGCAGGCAGGUAUCUGAGCGGUUGCUCUGUAGAAGGAUGAGCCAGGCUGUCCGGGCGUGUGGACCCCAGCAUCGGGAAGAUGGUGACAGCCAUGACAGGGAAGAUUAUCGUCCUCUGUCCGGCAUCCUGUAGUUCUAGUCUUGGGAUCACCAGGUAAGAGUUGCAAUCUCAAGCCAUUGCAAACUAUCACCCAAGAUAGGAUCUUGGGAUUUUCAACAAAAGUCUUUCAGCUUGUAGUACUGCCAACCCAUUAAUUUCUCAGAAACCUUGAGUGUUCCUUAUCACCAUUUUGGAAAUGUUAACAAGCUGUUUUAUGUCUUCUCAUUGCUGGCUUUUACUUUUAUAAACUAUUCCCUGUAACAAACUUUCAUGACAGACUGUUGCCUUGAUAAUAACACAGUCUCUUGACAACAGCACUCUCAACUCUUUUCAGUUUUCAAGGUAAAUCACGUAUUGCACACAUUUUCAAAGGAAUGUUAACCUCAGUGCUGAAGCGGUUCACAUUCCAGUUUUUCAUAGUCUACAUGUCAGGUUUCUCUUCAAAACCUUCUUUAAGUAAGCACGGAAAUUUUAUAGGAGCAAAAAAUUAAGAUAACUACAGGAAUUCAUCUUGAACACUUAUCUUUAUCUGGAUUGGUUUUUGUGCUUGAAGUUUAAUUGAAUAAGCAGAUCCCUGAAUGUUACGGACCAAGGGAAUGCUAUGUGUGUUCCUCUCUUGUGAACCAAGCAGGGUGUGAGGAAGGGUGUCUUUAAGAGAUGCACGUCUUCCACUCAUUUUUCCUUCAAUAUAUUUGCUACCUAAGUACAGUGAAAAAUAUCCCACUGAUUGUCUUGUAGCUUGUCAGUGUGUGCGAGUUACCUUUAGAGGGCACCGUUUUGUUGGGCAUCUGUUGGCACUGAAGUUUUCCAGGAAUCCCAGAGCUUCCUUAGCAACCGUGACGGAUCAAAGCUUCCGCACCUACGGUCAGAGGAAAAAAAAUAAAUCAUCCUAGAACAACAGAAUUUGCAUUUAUUCACUCGACAGAACUGGUGUUGAAUGAAGUCUGCUUAUGAGAGGAAAUCUGUUACUCUGGAAUGUUCCGUGUUUACCAAGCUGUGCUGCCAAAGCUGAAAACUUCAGUUCAGGACCAAAGCACUCUGUCAGCUUGAGGGCCCUUUCAGAGUAAUUCUUUAAGCUCCACAGUAUAAUGGAUAAACCAAAAUGACAGACGUGAGGCCACGGGAGCAUUCACUGUGCCUUUCCUGGAGCAACUGAGCGGUUCGACUCUUACGUAAGACUGCAGCAUGCUGCCAGUCCCUUGUAUUGGCAGCGUCUGAAGUGAGCACUUCAUGUGACCCUUAGCCAUCCCGCACAGACCGAUAUUAAUGUGAGACAUAAAAUGUACACAUUACGUAACCAUUUCUCCUGACAGCCACCCAAGCCAAGUAUUUCCUACUGACUGCUGCAGCAACAGACAUUUAAUUUUAACUUGCCACUAAAAUAAAACACUCUGUGGGUAGAAGGAAGCGUAUGGGUGGGAACAGGGAAUGGAGGUUGUUCCUGUCCCAACAUGAAUUGCCAGAAAGAUCAGCAAUAUUUUUUUUGAGCUUGGUUUAUGUGGCCAGCUUAGCCUGACAGCAUCUGUUAAAAAGUGCCCAGAGACCCAUUUUGUGCCUGCUUUUACUAAUACAGCCAAAAGAAAAAUUGCAAACGUCAUGAAAUGCUUUUUAAUUACGCCUUUGCUGCCCAGUAAAAGACUUGAUUUAAAAAGUGUCCUAAAAAGGGUAGUGUAAUUUUAAUUUACUCAGAAAUGCACUGACCUAGCAUUCUGACUUGCUCUGAAGGACAGAGCCAGAAAAGCAGAAAAUGCAGUUUCAGCAUUUAAAAACACUAGAGCAGCAGACAACUGUCAAUGUUGCCACAUAAGGUGUUAUAGCUGAAACCCCUUAUGUGCCGUACAGGAACUUAACACUGUGCGGGAUUGUGGCAUGUUUCGAUGUACUGAAUUUGCCUGAUAACGAAUCUGGAAGUCAAUGGGUUUUCCUCUGGCCUACCUGCAGUACUGUGAGCUUUGUAGGGCUGCCAGGCUCGCAGAAUCCCUUUGGGCAGGAGGGAAUUAGUCUCUGGGGGUCCUGCUGCCUGUCCUGUUCCCUCUUGGAAAUCCAGCUGGCUCCUUAUUGAGCUACAUGGAGGCAGAUUUUCACGUGAAAUUACAUCCUGGGAUUGUAAUUUCUGCCAUAAAGAGGUGGCAGUUGGAUGUGGCUAAGUCUACAGUGGAAUGUGCAGUCAUUGUUUGAUAUGAAUAUAAUAUUUCAGUUUGAA
Falco peregrinus (peregrine falcon) is the source of this 3080-nucleotide long non-coding RNA. RefSeq lists it as uncharacterized. The record is from RefSeq and is a predicted model, not a curated record. NCBI's taxonomy places the organism in Eukaryota, Metazoa, Chordata, Aves, Falconiformes, Falconidae. The transcript has 2 exons.